AAAGUGCCCAGUGUUGAGUUUUUUGCCAAGGUUUUCUAUAUGUUUGAUCCAAUUUAGGUCGGUAUCUAUUGUUAUGCCAAGAAAUUUCAGCUGCCCUUCAAUACUGACAUCAGGAAUGUCUGGGACUUCUAGUGCUCUUCUUGCAAAAGCAAUCUGAUUAGUCUUUGAUGGAUUUAUUACAAGAUCAUUUCCAUAGCAAUACUGGAUGGCCAUGUUGAGUGCUAUGUAAGAUGAGACGGCAAGACUAUCUGCAGAUUGUUGGUUCAGGAGUAGAGUGGUGUCGUCGGCAUACAUAAGAGGUGUGCAAUGAUUUCCUAGGUGUUUGGGGAAGGUCAUUAGUGAAAAGUAUGAAAAUGACUGGUCCUAAUAUGGAGCCUUGUGGCACACCUCUCAGCACUGGAAGAGCUUUUGACAUGAUUGCCUUUGUAAUGCCGUUUGACGAGUGGUUGAGCUCAACUAGUUGUGUAUGAUCCUUUAAGUAGCUAACAAACCAAUCAUUCGCUGUCCCUUUUAUCCCAAGCAGUUUUCUAGUUUCUUCAGAAUAAUGUUGUGGCUGAGGCAGUCAAAUGCUUUGCUUAAGUCAAGAAACAAGGCUGUGGUUAAUUUUCCCUCUUCAAUGGUAUCUGUGACAGAAUCAAUUAGUUUGAUCAAUGCCGUAGUAGUUGAUUUCCCUUUUGUAAAUACAUGUUGGUUUUUAUUUAGCAGGUUGUGCUGCACACACUGAUCAAGGAGUCUUUGGAAAACGAUUCUUUCACAUAGUUUUGAGAAUAUUGGAAUUAGUGAAAUUGAUCUAUAAUUGUUCACAUCAUGUUUGCAACCAGUUUUAAAUUUAGAGAAAACUUUGGAAAUUUUUAGUUUUGAGGGAAACUUUUGUUCUUUAAAAGAUUUGUUGAAUAUGGUAACCAAUGGUAGAGCCAGUUCACCAGCACAGAAUUUUAGUACUUUGGAAGAUAUUUCAUCAAUACCUGCUGAGUUUUUUUAUUUAAGUUUCCUGAUUGUGUCUUUAACCUCUUUGAUGCUUGUUUCAGUUAUUGUUUCCCUUAAUGCAAUAAACACAUACAGUACAUAUAUUGUUCAGGAUAACAUCAGAAAGGACUAGUCUAUUGUUUUGGAGGGGUGGAAGAUAACUGGAGCGUCAUCGCGUCACCCCGCGCCCUGGCCCAAGUCUUCCAGUCACAUUUCAUGUUAAUUUACCUCAGAUUUUAUAACCGACUGAAACUCUUGCCCGUUUUUCAUUUUCAACUAUCUCUUUAUUAUAUAUUAUGUUUACUUAGUACAAUGAACAAAAAAACAUGGUUACAAUUAUGAUAACACAAUUUAAGUUGUAUUAAUUCAAAGGUUUUAUCAGAACUAUUACAAAUAUCUCUAAUAACUAAACAGAGUAGUUUUCUUUCUUAAAACUGAGAUUUCUCGAUAGUAAUGAAACUAACUUAGGAGUUAGAAAAGCCCUUCCAAUUUCUAAAUUACAAUUUAAAGUUGUCAGAAAGGCAGACUGAUUCUCUGUGCCACACCUUCAAAUUUCAUUGAUCACUUAGCAUAAUUAGGAGCACUGGUGAUCUAUCUAUUCUGUGCCGCACCCCUUUUUUUUAUCAGUUAACGACAAUAGAGGUGCCGAAUUCGUUCGUGCCCCAUGCAGUUACAUGGGCCUCAGACCAGCCCUGUACUUAUAUUCACAUACAAGCUUGCAUGCUUGAUUGUUUGUGCUUAUUCUAAUCACUUGAAACUAUUUGAAUUAGAAAGAGUGGUAAUGUGUUUUUUUAGUGGGUUAACUGAACUAUUUCAGUCUUUCUCUAUCUUUAUAUUUUCUUUAGAAUGUCAAUCUUUUGAACAUUAUCGAUGUGAUAGUCAGGCCACAUGAAUCAAUAAGUUUGUGUUAAAAAAAUAUUAAAAUAUAAAAUAAUGUUUCAUUUGGUAAUACAAAAAUUAGUAUUGUCUGCUUUUUCACCCUAAUUAUUACACAUUAUAUUUUACAUAAUUGUAUACGGAAAACACCCAAACAGGUCGCUUGUGAAUGAAUCUCUUUGAAAAAUGUCUUACACAAAAGUUCACUGCGAAAUGUCGCUACUUGUGUAAUUUCUUGGAGUAACUUAAGUGGUUUUUAUUUCACAACCAUCAGGUUAAUAGUGUUUUAUAAACAGCCAAUUCCUCUUUGAACUUAGUAAUAUAAACCCAGUGUUUCUUUAUCUGAGCAGGGUAAUGAGAGUUUAAAAACUAUUGUAGGCUAAUCAACUGUUAAUCUCUGAAGUUCCAAGAAGUUCUUUUCUUUUUGGAGCCAUUGCACUUGGCCACAAAGCAGUGGUAUAGGAUGAAAUCUAAUAUAAAUGAUCAGUCUCAACGUUUGCCUUAUUAUAUCAAUGAGGACCAAGUGCUUCGAUAUUAGCAGCCCACCAAUAUUUUUUGGCUUAAGCAUGACAUACUCAGGCCAAUAUAAUGUGAAAGCAUGUGUUUACAGUGUAUAAACUGCCAAAACAGCUUUAGGAGUGACAGCACAGCUGUCUGCAGUAUGCGAAGAACAAAAUCACACAAGAUAUUCAUGCUAUCAAUAUCAAUGAAUAUGUCUACAAAUUAAAAAGUGAAAUUGAAUAGUGACAAGCCUACAUAGUAUAGAAGCAUCAUCCAGGAUCAACAAGCUUAAACACUGUUUAUUAAACACUUAUGUAUGGCUGCUCCAGGCUUCAAGUCAGUGUAUUUUCCAAAAGCUGAAGAAACAGGUGAGCACAGCAAGUUGGGAUUAACUCAUAGCGGACAAGAAUGACCCCUUAAUAUCCACAUGGAAGGGAGAGCUCUUAUUGAUUCACUCAUUCAGACUUUGACUAAAACUUAGUAUGGGAGUGCAGGAAUGCUCUAAAAGAACUGACGAAACGGAAAAAAUUCAUCCUUGCCUGGGAGCCAAGUUAUAAAGGCAUUCCUGGGAAUAAAACUGCUGAUGCUGGCCAAGAUAAGCUUUGGAAGUCUUUUGGUAGGACCAGAGCAGGGGGCUUUGGAGUAGACUUCUCCUACAGAAAAGUUCUAGUAAAUACCUGGGAAAAGAGGGUCAGAUCCUAGGCACAGAGAAAGACGUCAGGCAAUAAAAAAAUCUUUAUCUCCCUGUAUGCUAAAGGAUGGGCUGGGCUCCUAGACCUAAUUAAGAAGGAUAUACAACUAGUAUUUGGUAUGCUAAUAGAACUUUACCCUCUUUGGAAACAUCUGAUGAAGGUGAGUUUAAGCCAGCCUGAUGAAAGCAGACCAUGAAGAGACAGAAAAAUCAGCAUCAUAGUAUAUAUGGCUAAACCAUUCUGCUGUUGUACUUGUAUGGUGAGCACUUCUCCAACUAAAUUUUUUAACUUUUGAUGAAAUGUGGGUUUACAGUUAUGAGCCAGAAUUUAAAAGGAAAAACAUGGAGUUGGAAACACACCAGCUCUCACCUAUCAAGAAAAACAUUCAAAACGCAAGCGAGAAAAGCCAUGUUGCUUACGUUUUGAGAUGAUCAUGGUAUGGUUUUUGUGAUGGCCUUGAACAGUUUAGAAUAAAUAGUCCAUAUUACUCAAAUAUACUUUUGAAGAAGAUGAAGCUCUGGCUAUAAGAGAGAAACACCGUGAACCUCAGAGGAGAGGUAUGGUUUUCCAGCAAGACAAUACAUGUACACACACUACUCAACUAAAAUGUAAAUCACUCGAAAAAAUGGACUGGGACCUACUAAUUAAUCCCGCUUACAGCCCUAAUGUAACACAAUGUGAUUUCCAUUGGUUUGGUUCACUGAAGAAGGCAUUACAUGGGAAGAAGUUCCAGGAUUACAAGGAUGUCCAAAAAAUUUGUGGGAAAUUUACUCAACCACAAAGACAAAGUUCUUUGCUGCCUAUAAACAAGAAGCUAGUAGACAGGUGCAUUUGUGUUGGUGGAGAUUAUGUUGAAAAGUAAGGGAAGUCCUGUUUUGUAAGAUAAUAAAGUUUUUUGGAGACCAA
Long non-coding RNA from Homalodisca vitripennis (glassy-winged sharpshooter), 3941 nucleotides. RefSeq lists it as uncharacterized. The transcript is spliced from 2 exons. NCBI's taxonomy places the organism in Eukaryota, Metazoa, Arthropoda, Insecta, Hemiptera, Cicadellidae. The record is from RefSeq and is a predicted model, not a curated record.